Molecule: non-coding RNA, 24 nt
Filed under: Arabidopsis thaliana (thale cress)
Lineage: Eukaryota; Viridiplantae; Streptophyta; Magnoliopsida; Brassicales; Brassicaceae
Source: RNAcentral
AAACUACUCAAUUACCCCAUCCUC